AAGGUUUUAAGUUAAUUUGAAACUAUUAAUUUUCAAAAUUAAAAAUAAAAAUAUAAAUCUUA
RNAcentral lists this transfer RNA (62 nucleotides) under Echiniscus testudo. RNAcentral describes it as "tRNA-Trp". The record is from RNAcentral. Lineage: Eukaryota; Metazoa; Tardigrada; Heterotardigrada; Echiniscoidea; Echiniscidae.